GUAGGUGGCAAGCGUUGUCCGGAAUUAUUGGGCGUAAAGCGCGCGCAGGCGGUCCUUUAAGUCUGACGUGAAAGCCCACGGCUCAACCGUGGAGGGUCAUUGGAAACUGGGGGACUUGAGUACAGAAGAGGAAAGCGGAAUUCCAAGUGUAGCGGUGAAAUGCGUAGAGAUUUGGAGGAACACCAGUGGCGAAGGCGGCUUUCUGGUCUGUAACUGACGCUGAGGCGCGAAAGCGUGGGGAGCAAACAGGAUUAGAUACCCUGGUAGUCCACGCCGUAAACGAUGAGUGCUAAGUGUUAGGGGGUUUCCCGCCCCCUUAGUGCUGCAGCUAACGCAUUAAGCACUCCGCCUGGGGAGUACGGCCGCAAGGCUG
RNAcentral lists this ribosomal RNA (373 nucleotides) under uncultured organism. Its description in RNAcentral is "partial 16S ribosomal RNA". It matches the Rfam family "Bacterial small subunit ribosomal RNA", at positions 527 to 896 of the family's 1533-position model. The record is from RNAcentral.